Molecule: non-coding RNA, 30 nt
Filed under: Rattus norvegicus (Norway rat)
Lineage: Eukaryota; Metazoa; Chordata; Mammalia; Rodentia; Muridae
Source: RNAcentral
UUUUAUUAUUAUAAAUAUCUAGGGCAAAAU